UGCCAUGUAAUGUUGCUUUUUACUUAGGUAUGCAUCAAAAGCAAUAAUUUCCGAAGCAGAUCUGAUUUUACAAGACCAACGUGAUAAAUAACUUUAUCUCUAUCAUAUUUGUUUAUAAGCAAAGUAUUACUUUGUCAGGGCUUAUCUCAUCUUCAGUGUCUGGGAUUGUGGGCAACAGAGCAGAUCGAGUCAAACCCCAAAAUUUUUGAGGUGACAUGUCUUUUUUGGUGGCUGUAAAUUUCCAUCCAAUAUGGCUUGCACAGAUCUUACACUGGGCGAUAGUCCAAGCAUACCUACAAAAUUAAAGAAAGGUAUCAGCUAAGGAAACCAUUUCUGUACCCCAAGCCUGUUACUGUAUAAAGCUGUUUCAAGACAGAGCCAAAUUCUAUAUGGUUUCCUGAAACAAACUUGAUUGUGCUCUUAAACUGUGUUUAUUUUUUUCUUGGCAUUGGAGAAAAAACUUAAUAUGGAUUAAUUCACAGGGGUCUUUCGUAUUGCAGUCGUGUUACAAAACACUAUCCAAGUCCAGAGAUACUUUUGUGUGUGACUUAAAAUGAGAGGUGGGAUGAAGCGAUACAUGUGCUUCUCACCUAAAAUCUAAGAACUUCUCUGAAGUAAGAAUGAUCUUGUCAGAUACUUCACCCAGAAAAUCAAACUAUAACUAGAAACCAAACCAUAUGACUGAAACCAUUUCUUAACUUCCCUAGGUACAUCCCACAUGUCUAUUAGCAAGUUAAUCCUAGUUUUAGUCCUUAGCAAGGGUGUUAAAUAAGAUUGAACAAUCCAAGUAAUAUGGUCUUAGAUACAAAAUGGCAGUUAUUAUCUUUAAUUAAUUUACUUUAGAGAGAGUCUUAAGUAGACUCCACAGGGAGUGCAGAGCCCGAGGCAGGAGUUGAUCUCAGCUACCUUGAGAUCAGGACCUGAAAAGUCAGAUGCUUAUAACCAACUGCCACUCAGGCGCCCCCAAAAUGAUUAUUAUAAUCACUAAUCCACACUCUGCUUGCCUCUUUUAAAAUAAAAGACUGACCCAUAAUUUGGAAGAAAAGACUAUUAAUACAUUCCCACAGCCUUAUUUUCAAGAACGCUAACUAGUUCCCAGGUGGUGCUACUGGUGCCAGGCUCAUAGUUUGAAAGCCACUGGGCUAAAGAAAAAAAUUGAAGAAAACUGGGAUUCAGUGGCUUUUCCAGGGAUUUUGUCUGUCACUGCUUGAAAUAUUCUCUGGUUUGAUAUACUAUAGGAUAUGGUUCAAAUACAGUUACAAGGUUAUAUGCCAGCUGAUUUUCAGAAGGAGCUAAAAGGAAAAUGAAAAGUCUAGAUUAAGUGUAUAGUUAAUAUAAGGAUGACUGUGGUUGCCAACCUUUUAACUAUAUAUAGUAAGUCUAUGCCAAACUUAGCUGUUACCAUUCACAAAAAAUGAAGAGCAUUUAAACAGAAUUAUUCAUCUCGUCUAUUUUUGAUUACAUUUCUAACAACUCUGCUUAGGACUCUGUCCAGUUAAGGCACUCUACCCCUCAGAGAAACUACCACAUUACCCAGGAAACCAGCUGUGCUCUGUAGAAGGCCGGCCUAUCAGAUUCAAGUUGCAGGCUUUAUACACGGUAAGUGUCUCAUGCACGUAUCCAUGAGGAUUCACAUAAGCUGCCAUCGGUCCACAUAAGGAUAAACUAUAAGAGAAUCAGCACAGAGGGUAAGUCAAAAUGGAAGGAGAAAAAUGUCUAGUGAGGUUAUAAGAGUAAUAUCAGAACCUCAGUAUGAAAACAGGAGGUUGGCAGUCAGCCCAGUUUUAUUCACUGUACUUGUUUGUACAACAGGGAGCUCAACUUCAUCUAAAGGAGUCUCUGAGAGUGGAAGUACAAUGAAAAGGUCCAAAUUAUCUUUGGGCGACUGAUUACUUUAUAGGAAACAGUUUCCUUAUGUCCUGAUUUAUGAUUUGUUUGUACUAAAAUAAUUUUCAAACACUUAGGUCACACAGCAUCAGUACAUUUUCAGAAGCGUGUCCUACUUUAUGUUUGCCUGGAAGAUACUACUUGAGGCAUUCGUGUUAGGUCCUUAAUUACUAAGAACUUACACAGAUGACCAAGCAGGAAUACGGAAAGAAGGACUGCCCCUUGUUUGACUUUACCAUGCUUCAUUACUUGUGAAUAAUAUCUUACAUAACCAUUGCUGCUGAGUACCCAGUCAGGAAGGGUGUCUUAACUUCCCACAUUGCAUUUGCUGAAUGACUGUUACUUAAUGGACGGAAAUAUAUGGAGAAUGGAAAUAUAGUCUUGACUAUGACUCUGUUACAGCAGUUGGGAAAAUGUACUCAGAAGUAUACUAAAAAUGUAGUAAAGCUCUCACCUGAAUAUUUCAUUUUUGGUUGUUAUUUCUGUUUCUUGACAUUGUUUACAGCAAAGAGACGUACACUAAAAAAUUUAGUGGAAAUUUAGAGAAAAUUAGUGGGGAAAAUUCACGUUGUAUAAUUAUACAACUCAUCAAGAAAUUUCUUUGAAGUAUUGAUCUCUCUAAAUAUGUUUUCCUUCCAAUCAUCCAAAAAAAGAAUUUUAAAGCAGGACCAAGAAAAACUCUGAAGUGACACAUAUUCACUCACAAAACUAAUGACUGUACGAAAAAAAGUGACAGAUACAUAUAACCACAGAUGCUCCAAGUGGAAAUCAAGUAUUUUCACAAACUCUAAAUGUCUGAAGGCUGUAAAAACAAUCUGAGUGUAUGAUCCCAAAUGAAAUGUCUUAAUUAUCCUUUGAAUCAUGUGAAACUAGCAAAACAACCAGUUUUCUAAUUACAUGACUACAUAACUGGAUUCCAUAGAUAAUCAUGCCUAAAAUACGGGUGUCAUGAACAUGGUCACUUUACUCACUUUAUUCAUAAUAUCUAGUUCACAGCGAAGUCGUUGGAUGGCACUACCAAUUUUAAGGAGCUGAAUCCUUAAUACAUCAUCAAUAGGAAGACAAGCAGCUACUCUGUAAGAAAAAUCUUAAAGACAUAGUGGUUUUUCAAGUUUUAAAUUUCUGAAGCAGGGAGCUACUACAUGGAUGAAGAUCGAUUUGUUUUUCAAGGCUCAUGAAUGGAAGCUCAAACCAAUGAAUGGAUUCUUUGAUUCCUCUGCACAGAGAAGUCCCUUCUGGCUAUAAUUCAGAUAGAGAAGCAUUAACAAAAAAGGGUACAUUCAACUACUUAGGGGAAAAUAAACCCUUUCCACAGGACGCCAAAGGUCAAAAGACAAAUCACAAACCAGGAAGAAUGUUUGGAACCUAAUAAUUACAGAUAAAGGGAUUUCAUAUUCAACUCUUUUCUGAUGAACACAGUAGGGCUGUAUAAAGGAAUGAAGAGAUACCCUGGACCUAGAGACGAACAGAUGCGCUGCUUCAGAUCCUGGCGGGAAGUACGAGGCAGAUGUGAAUGAACUCUACAAAUGGAGUGAACUGAGCCUUAGGUCCAUCUAAAGACAAGCGGGUUAUAUAACCCAGUCCUAUGGUAAGAGGCACAGAAAGCCAAACCACUGAAACAGUUCUAAUGCACAGGGAGCCCCCACCAGGGACGGCCAUCAACUGUCCCCUUUCCCUUCACUUUGUGCAUGGCUCAGAGCCCUCUUUCUAAAGUAGAACAGAGUUUGUAGGUCAUCUGCAGUCCAAAAUAGAUCAGCUAGCAGUUUUUCUUGGCCUAGUAAUCUAAACCCAAAUCUCAGGACCUAACAAACUUUACUCAAAUUUUAAGCAAGGGAAUGCAUUUAACAAUCUGAAAAAUACAUGGGAUAAAAGGAUUGUAUUUCCUAAAACCUUUUAUGCUUCUUCCUUAGCACCUUCUGUUUAGUCCUUGGUGACUGUGAAUACGGAAGUAACUCAGUGCUACUGUUUUAGAGUUUAGAAUUUACUUCUACGACUACGGGGAAGUAGGACAGCAGGGGAAAGGACCUGGUUCCAAGAAAACGUGCUUCCUUGGUCUUUGCAUGUCUGGCUCUCCUUGCUUGUGAAGUCCAGAAGAACUGAGACACACUACUACUAUGUGCUACUUGAAACUCUUCUUUAAGGUAAUGUAUUUAUGAUUCAAGAGCCAAACACCUGAUCUGAUUAUAAGAAAUUUAUUAAGAGACUCCUCCAGAACUAAGAUCACAAGCUAUUAACUAAUACACAACUGACAAGCGUAAUAGCAAGAACACCUUAAGGACUGUGACAUUUUACUAUUUCUGCAAACUGUUUUACAUAAGUAGCUGCCCAUGAAAUUUUCAGAAGCUCUAGCUUUGAUCAAAUGCAGCUAGAGUAUUACCACAGAAGGUGUCUGGGGAAUGAAGCACGAGUGUUGUUUAUAUGCCUUUCUUAAAUACAGUAAAAAAAAGCAACCUGUCUUCAUAUUUUGAAGAUGCAUAAAAAAUCAGUUUCUCACCUUCUGGUAUUUCUGCCACCAUUUACAUGAAUACUGGUCUUCCCAUGAGACAGGUUUUGAAGGAAAUAUCUGGCAUUUAUUGAGGGAUUCUAACUGAACUGCAGACAUGGUUGAAGGCAACACACAUUCAGGAAGAAUUUGCACUUUAGCUUGCUGGAUUCUAAAAUAAAGAGAACCAAGCAUGGUGUUCAUUUUUAAAAUACACUAACUCAAACUAUUAAGUUUCUAAACAUUUUGGGUAAUUUUAAAUACUAAGAUUUUCAGUUUUCUUUUUUAAACAUAUUUAUUAGAUGCCGAUUUAAGAUGUAAUAAGAAUUUUCAGAAAAUACCGUAUUUUAGAAAUCAUACCAAAGUUAAAAUCAAAGAUAAUCUAAAGCAUAGGUUUUCAAUCUCAUGUGAAAUGCAAAGGAAGAUUUGUAUAUUUCAGAUAAAUAUACAGUUUACUAAUGAAACAAAAUUUGAAAAAUCAAAAUACAACCAUCUACUACUGCUUGAUACUUCUAAAUUCGUUUCUUAGACAUUCUUACACACCUCACCCCUCCCAGUUUCCCAUUUGCUUCCUGGCUCUUAACACUUGUCCCCUCUUCUAAGUCUAAUCUAACUGAAGGAGUAAGUAGAGAAAGCAAUAGCAAAUCAAGAACUCAUUUAUGUGGAUAGUUAAAAUAAGACUAUAAAAUUUCACGCAGCCUGUAUUUCUAUGUGCAUUUUUUCUUUCUCAUUUAAUUUGAAAACUCAAAGAAUCAAAAUAUGCAUAUUACUUUUUUUAACCUAAAAAUUAAACUCCCACGAGAGUGAACUCAUCAUUUUCAGACUGCUACUUGAGAAUAUCAUAACUGCAAACAUUUAUCAUGAACAAAUGCCAACAGGAACAUUGUACCUAUGAGCUACUUUCUUUUGAAGCAUAUCUCCUAGAGUAUAUAGCUCUUACAAUGUUGAAUGUAUUAGCACAUUCAAAUGUUGGAAGAAAUCACUGUCACACAAAGUUCAGUAUAUUAAAGUCUCUGCUUUAUUAUUAUGUUUAGAAAAUCUCAAGUGGUUUUUCAUAUUAAUUACUGCCUUAACCCACAAAAAGUUAGGAAUGAAAUUUUGAUACUUCUACUAAUUUAUUAAAUGAAAAUGGCUAACUCGGUUAGACUCAUUUCACUAACUUCAUUUCUUCCUGCAAGCUCAAAUUUAUGUCUGCAUGACUUCUGAAAAUGUUAAAAAAAAAAAACAAACAUGUUCAAACUAUAUUCAAAUAUUCUUCUAUUACUAAAGCUCAAUAAAAACAAAUAAAACCUCUAUUUUCUUCACCUGUCACAUGAACACAAAUACUUAGAAUCAUAUUUUUAAAACAAAAGUGUACACCAUUCUACAGAAAUGUUUAGAAAUCUGAUUCUUCUUCAAGGUCAUCAGCAACUAAAUUAAGAAUGAUGUUUAACUCAACUAUUCUGUAAGAUUUUAUUGCAUUACGAUAAAAACAUUAAUGAUACUGAAAAACUAGCUUAUUGAUCCUUUUAAUAAUCAGUCUGUGGUACCAGCUGUCUGAAUUGCCUUGCAGGACUCAGCAACACUCUCUGCUCCUUUUCUUAGACAUGCUCGGGGGUCUGCUAUACACACAGGGCUAGUUCUUCUCCCACCAGAUGGGUUUUGUUUUUAACAAAAGUACUUUGUUUCUUCCCAACGUGCUUAUAGUAGUUGUUUUGUGAUUAGAGUUACAUAAUUUAUAUAACUAUUAUAAAAACCAAUGAAAUGUAACUUAUAAAAUGGUUUUAAUGAUAAAGUUGAGCAAUAAAAACUUUCAAAUUAGGUUGAGACCAUUCUAAUAA
Molecule: long non-coding RNA, 6189 nt
Organism: Canis lupus familiaris (dog)
Lineage: Eukaryota; Metazoa; Chordata; Mammalia; Carnivora; Canidae
Exons: 6
Source: RefSeq, a predicted model, not a curated record